AUUGAACGCUGGCGGCAGGCCUAACACAUGCAGGUCGGACGGUAGCACAGAGGAGCUUGCUCCUCGGGUGACGAGUGGCGGACGGGUGAGUAAUGUCUGGGGAUCUGCCCGAUAGAGGGGGAUAACCACUGGAAACGGUGGCUAAUACCGCAUAACGUCGCAAGACCAAAGAGAGGGACCUUCGGGUCUUCCACUAUUGGAUGAAACCAGAUGGGAUUAGUUAGUAGGCGGGGUAACGGCCCACCAAGGCGACGAUCCCUAGUUGGUCUGAGGGGAUGACCAGCCACACUGGAACUGAGACACGGUCCAGACUCCUACGGGAGGCAGCAGUGGGGAAUAUUGCACAAUGGGCGCAAGCCUGAUGCAGCCAUGCCGCGUGUAUGAAGAAGGCCUUCGGGUUGUAAAGUACUUUCAGCGGGGAGGAAGGCGAUGUGGUUAAUAACCGCGUCGAUUGACGUUACCCGCAGAAGAAGCACCGGCUAACUCCGUGCCAGCAGCCGCCGUAA
RNAcentral lists this ribosomal RNA (506 nucleotides) under uncultured bacterium. RNAcentral's name for it is "partial 16S ribosomal RNA". It matches the Rfam family "Bacterial small subunit ribosomal RNA", at positions 29 to 523 of the family's 1533-position model. The record is from RNAcentral.